AAAUUGAAGAGUUUGAUCAUGGCUCAGAUUGAACGCUGGCGGCAGGCCUAACACAUGCAAGUCGAACGGUAACAGGAAGCAGCUUGCUGAUUCGCUGACGAGUGGCGGACGGGUGAGUAAUGUCUGGGAAACUGCCUGAUGGAGGGGGAUAACUACUGGAAACGGUAGCUAAUACCGCAUAAUGUCGCAAGACCAAAGAGGGGGACCUUCGGGCCUCUUGCCAUCGGAUGUGCCCAGAUGGGAUUAGCUAGUAGGUGGGGUAACGGCUCACCUAGGCGACGAUCCCUAGCUGGUCUGAGAGGAUGACCAGCCACACUGGAACUGAGACACGGUCCAGACUCCUACGGGAGGCAGCAGUGGGGAAUAUUGCACAAUGGGCGCAAGCCUGAUGCAGCCAUGCCGCGUGUAUGAAGAAGGCCUUCGGGUUGUAAAGUACUUUCAGCGGGGAGGAAGGGAGUAAAGUUAAUACCUUU
RNAcentral lists this ribosomal RNA (473 nucleotides) under Escherichia coli. RNAcentral describes it as "bacterial SSU rRNA". It matches the Rfam family "Bacterial small subunit ribosomal RNA", at positions 1 to 470 of the family's 1533-position model. Lineage: Bacteria; Pseudomonadati; Pseudomonadota; Gammaproteobacteria; Enterobacterales; Enterobacteriaceae. The record is from RNAcentral.